This 633-nucleotide small RNA is filed under the name Pan troglodytes (chimpanzee). RNAcentral describes it as "processed transcript". Lineage: Eukaryota; Metazoa; Chordata; Mammalia; Primates; Hominidae. The record is from RNAcentral.
GUUACUGUCCCGCGAACCCACAUCCCUACAAAGCAGGAAAGUAUGCUUGGGAGAGGCCAAGUGAGUGGGGAAUCAGCCCAAAGCCAGGCAUCCAGGGUCUCCCUCACCUGAAGCUGACUUUUUCCCCACCUUGGACAGAGGGCGGGAGAUGCCAUCCCCACUGAACCCAGUGCUUUCACCAGCCAUAUUAGCUCCCACUCACCCCCCGUCGUGGAAGCCUCGGCCGUCACACCUGCAGGGCCGGGGCGUGCAUGGCCUCAGGGAUGGCCUGUUCAGCUGCUGGGUGACUCAGGUCCAGGUGCCUCACCACCUGCUGAGCUCUGUGUGAUUUCUGGACACUUCUGCUGAUUGCCUUUGGGCUCAGUGAAGAGUCUGGAGUUUAUCUGGAGUGAGGUGGCCGGGUCUUGGUGGGAUCUGAGCAGGCUGGACGCUUCAUGGAGGGCUCCAAAGCUGGCAGAUCCCGGGGCCGCCUCUGUCUCUCCCAGGCCCUGCGUGUUACGGUGAGAGGAGCAUUUGUGUCUCUGUGGUUUGCUGCUGGAACUGGUGACCGGGAGAGAAACAAGGGAGACAAGGGUGUCCAGACAGGUGUGGGGCUCAGCCAGGAGGCAGAAGACGUGGACGUGUCCCGGGCCA